AGUAGUAUAGACAUUUUAACAAUAUUUGUUCUUCCAGUCCAUAAGCAUGGAAUGUUUUUCCCUUUCUUAGUGUGUGUGUCAUCUUUAACUUCUUUCACUAGUUUUUUUUUUUUUUUUUUUUUUAUAGCUUUCAGAGUACAGGUCUUUCAUCCUUUGGUUAUGUUUACUCCUAGGUGUCUUAUUUUUGGUACAAUUGUAAAUGGGAUUGUUUUCUUAAUUCCUUUUUCAGCUGCUUCAUUUGGGGGGGGGGCAUAGAAGUGAAACAGUUUUCAAUGAUUGAUUUUGUAUCCUGUGACUUUACUGAAUUUAUCAGUUCUAGCAGUUUUUUGGUGGAGUCUUUUGGGCUUUCUAUAUAUAUAAUAAAAUGUUAUAUGCAAAUAGUGAAAGUUUUACUUCUUUACUGAUUUGGAUGCCUUUUAUUUCUUUUUCUUGUCUAAUUUCUGUGACUAUGACUUCUAGUACUAUGUUUAAUAAAAGUAGUCUUGUUCCUGACUACAGAGAAAAACUCUCAAUAUUUUCCCCAUUGAGGAUGAUAUUAGCUGUGGGUUUUUGAUAUAUGGCCUUUAUUAUGUUGGGGUAUGUUCCCUCUAAACCUACUUUGCUGACGGUAUUUGUCAUGAAAGGAUGUUUUACUUUGUCAAGUGCUUUUUCUACAUCUAUUGAAAUGACCAUAUGAUCUUUAUUUUUUCUGUUUUUGAUGUGAUGUAGCACAUUGAUUGGUUUGUGAAUACUGAACCACCCUCACAACCCAGGAAUAAAUCCCACUUGAUCAUGGAAUUUUUAUUGGGAUUACAUAUAAUCUUUGGAUCAAGUUGGGAAAAAAUCAACAUCCGAAUAAUAUUUAGUCUUCCAAUCCAUGAACACAAAAUGUUGUGCCCAAGAUUACGUAUCUGAGAAACCACCAAGGAGCCGACACCGAUGCAAAAACACAAGGGUUUAUUUACAAGCUCAAGCUUGGGUCCAAGUAUACCCGACUCAAUGGAGCAGAGACUUGGACCCUGAGAUGGAAAGAACUGGAAUACGAGGGGAUCAAGUAAUUUGCCAAAGGCUUACUUUACAGCUGCUGAGUGGCAAAACUACAGUUCAAAGCUUGAGUGCCACUCAUACACAUGUCUGGCUCCCUUUAGCCCAUGCUGCAGCAUGGCUGACAUCAGAGGAUCAGCCUUCCCCCAGUGGUCCUCUACACACCAGCACUGGGUUCCUCCACUCUAGUUCUGUCUUCCUGAGUCUUGGUUACUAAUAAUAUCUAUGGAUUUCAUGCAGCAC
Molecule: long non-coding RNA, 1266 nt
Organism: Canis lupus familiaris (dog)
Lineage: Eukaryota; Metazoa; Chordata; Mammalia; Carnivora; Canidae
Exons: 3
Source: RefSeq, a predicted model, not a curated record